This 304-nucleotide ribosomal RNA is filed under the name uncultured bacterium. Its description in RNAcentral is "bacterial SSU rRNA". It matches the Rfam family "Bacterial small subunit ribosomal RNA", at positions 56 to 339 of the family's 1533-position model. The record is from RNAcentral.
UGCAAGUCGAGCGAUGAAAUCUUAACAGAACCCUUCGGGGUGAAGAUAAGACGGAUUAGCGGCGGACGGGUGAGUAACACGUGAGUAACCUGCCUUUUACACAGGGAUAGCCUCGGGAAACCGGGAUUAAAACCUGAUGAAACUAUCAAAUCACAUGAUUAAGAAAGUUAAAACUCCGGUGGUAAAAGAUGGACUCGCGUCCCAUUAGCUAGUUGGUGAAGGUAACGGCCCACCAAGGCAACGAUGGGUAGCCGGCCUGAGAGGGUGAACGGCCACAUUGGAACUGAGAAACGGUCCAAACUCC